RNAcentral lists this transfer RNA (68 nucleotides) under Marmota monax (woodchuck). RNAcentral's name for it is "tRNA.Thr". Lineage: Eukaryota; Metazoa; Chordata; Mammalia; Rodentia; Sciuridae. The record is from RNAcentral.
GCUGUAGCUUAGUGGCAGAGUGCUUGCCUAGUAUGUGUGAAGCACUAGGUUCAAACCUUAGCACCGCA